GCGUUAAUCGGAAUUACUGGGCGUAAAGCGUGCGCAGUCGGUUCCGCAAGUCAGAGGUGAAAUCCCCGGGCUCAACCUGGGAACUGCAUUUGAAACUACGGGGCUAGAGUGUGUCAGAGGGGGGUGGAAUUCCACGUGUAGCAGUGAAAUGCGUAGAGAUGUGGAGGAACACCAAUGGCGAAGGCAGCCCCCUGGGAUGACACUGACGCUCAUGCACGAAAGCGUGGGGAGCAAACAGG
Molecule: ribosomal RNA, 239 nt
Filed under: uncultured bacterium
Lineage: Bacteria
Description: partial 16S ribosomal RNA
Rfam family: Bacterial small subunit ribosomal RNA
Source: RNAcentral